This 282-nucleotide ribosomal RNA is filed under the name Laceyella tengchongensis. RNAcentral describes it as "partial 23S ribosomal RNA". It matches the Rfam family "Bacterial large subunit ribosomal RNA", at positions 926 to 1208 of the family's 2925-position model. Lineage: Bacteria; Bacillati; Bacillota; Bacilli; Caryophanales; Thermoactinomycetaceae. The record is from RNAcentral.
CCCCACAGGGUUACCGAACUCAGUUAAACUCCGAAUGCCAUCGACUCAUAUCCGGGAGUCAGACUGCGAGUGCUAAGAUCCGUAGUCAAGAGGGAAACAGCCCAGACCACCAGCUAAGGUCCCCAAGUAAUCGUUAAGUGGCAAAGGAUGUGGAGUUGCCUAGACAACCAGGAUGUUGGCUUAGAAGCAGCCACCAUUCAAAGAGUGCGUAAUAGCUCACUGGUCAAGUGACUCUGCGCCGAAAAUGUAACGGGGCUAAACGAUUCACCGAAGCUGUGGAUG